Molecule: non-coding RNA, 432 nt
Organism: Ictidomys tridecemlineatus (thirteen-lined ground squirrel)
Lineage: Eukaryota; Metazoa; Chordata; Mammalia; Rodentia; Sciuridae
Source: the annotation of a RefSeq genome assembly
AUGCAGAGGGGACUGGGGGCUCUGCUGGGGCUUCUGUGGGUGCAGUUUUGCUGGGUGAGAGGGCAGCAGGUGGAGCAGAGUCCUUCAGCCCUGAGGCUCCAGGAGGGAACCAGCACUACUCUGAGGUGCAAUUUUUCCACCAGCAUGACCAAUGUGCAGUGGUUCCGACAGAAUCCUGGGGGCAGCCUCAUCAGUCUGUUUUACCUGGCUUCAGGGACAAAGCAGGAGGGAAGGUUAAAGGCAACAGUGGAUCCUAAGGAGCGCUACAGCACCCUGCACAUCUCCACCUCCCAGCUGGAAGACUCAGGCACCUACCUCUGUGCAAUGAGGCACAGUGCUCCCAGGGGACCUGCAGCCUGUCACCAAACUGCAGCUGCAGCCACAGCCUCUGCCUUGGGGAGGACUUUCACAGCAGCCUCUGCUCAGCUAUGA